RNAcentral lists this small nucleolar RNA (141 nucleotides) under Drosophila persimilis. Its description in RNAcentral is "snoRNA:GL27939". RNAcentral also lists the same sequence under 1 other name. The record is from RNAcentral. Lineage: Eukaryota; Metazoa; Arthropoda; Insecta; Diptera; Drosophilidae.
CGUCUCAUGCUAAACUGUGUUCAGCGACUCCCCACCUGGACAUGGGUAGAAUGAGUACGCAGAGUAACCCACAAGUUUUAAUAUCCUAGUGCUUGACGAUACAUAUCCCCUCAUCUUGCUCUCUUGGAACUUAAAACUACA